UAGGUUAACGAGGCGAACCGGGGGAACUGAAACAUCUAAGUACCCCGAGGAAAAGAAAUCAACCGAGAUUCCCCCAGUAGCGGCGAGCGAACGGGGAGCAGCCCAGAGUCUGAAUCAGCUUGUGUGUUAGUGGAACGGUCUGGAAAGUCCGACGGUACAGGGUGAUAGUCCCGUACACCAAAAUGCACAGGUUGUGAACUCGAAGAGUAGGGCGGGACACGUGGUAUCCUGUCUGAAUAUGGGGGGACCAUCCUCCAAGGCUAAAUACUCCUGACUGACCGAUAGUGAACCAGUACCGUGAGGGAAAGGCGAAAAGAACCCCGGCGAGGGGAGUGAAAAAGAACCUGAAACCGUGUACGUACAAGCAGUGGGAGCACCUUCGGGUGUGACUGCGUACCUUUUGUAUAAUGGGUCAGCGACUUA
RNAcentral lists this ribosomal RNA (423 nucleotides) under Klebsiella aerogenes. RNAcentral describes it as "partial 23S ribosomal RNA". It matches the Rfam family "Bacterial large subunit ribosomal RNA", at positions 167 to 630 of the family's 2925-position model. Lineage: Bacteria; Pseudomonadati; Pseudomonadota; Gammaproteobacteria; Enterobacterales; Enterobacteriaceae. The record is from RNAcentral.